Molecule: ribosomal RNA, 251 nt
Filed under: uncultured bacterium
Lineage: Bacteria
Description: partial 16S ribosomal RNA
Rfam family: Bacterial small subunit ribosomal RNA
Source: RNAcentral
GAUCCUGGCUCAGGACGAACGCUGGCGGCGUGCCUAACACAUGCAAGUCGAGCGAGAGGAGUUCCUUCGGGAACAAAUCUAGCGGCGGACGGGUGAGUAACACGUGGGCAACCUGCCUUGUAGAGGGGAAUAGCCUUCCGAAAGGAAGAUUAAUACCGCAUAAUAUUACAUUUUCGCAUGAAGAAGUAAUUAAAGGAGCAAUCCGCUACAAGAUGGGCCCGCGGCGCAUUAGCUAGUUGGUGAGGUAACGG